Transfer RNA from Cladophialophora immunda, 107 nucleotides. It matches the Rfam family "tRNA". Rfam says of the family: Transfer RNA (tRNA) molecules are approximately 80 nucleotides in length. The record is from Rfam. NCBI's taxonomy places the organism in Eukaryota, Fungi, Ascomycota, Eurotiomycetes, Chaetothyriales, Herpotrichiellaceae.
GACAAUCUGGCCGAGUGGUUAAGGCGGCAGACUCGAAUGGCCUAUUCUCUUAGGUCUACUGUUAUCUGCUGGGUUCGCCCGCACAGGUUCAAAUCCUGUGGUUGUCG